UGGUGGUGGUGGUGGUGCUGCUGCAGUGUUACAUUAAACUGCACCUGCAUGAUUCAGAUUCAACCAGAAAUUUCAAUUGCAUCCACAUAAAUAUUACUAUCCAUUAUUUAUUUAUUAUCAUAUAUGUCAAAUUUCACUAACACCUAAAAUAAUAGAAAAUUGUCACUUCCCCUUUCCAUCUUUCGUUUCUGUAGAAUUUGAAACCAUCUUACUCUACACAAUUUAAUGACUGAUUGUCAUUAUAGAUUAACAGUACAAUUAUUGUUUAUUUAUCUAUCAGUGCUUCAUGCUAGAAAAUUAAAAUCCUCGCGUGUACAAAUAUCUAUCUUUGAUUUUUUCCAUAAUGCAGGGAAAAAAGGGAGAGUG
RNAcentral lists this unclassified non-coding RNA (366 nucleotides) under Hevea brasiliensis (rubber tree). The record is from RNAcentral. Lineage: Eukaryota; Viridiplantae; Streptophyta; Magnoliopsida; Malpighiales; Euphorbiaceae.